This is a long non-coding RNA of Culex pipiens pallens (northern house mosquito), 790 nucleotides long. RefSeq lists it as uncharacterized. NCBI's taxonomy places the organism in Eukaryota, Metazoa, Arthropoda, Insecta, Diptera, Culicidae. The transcript is spliced from 3 exons. The record is from RefSeq and is a predicted model, not a curated record.
AACAGUUGCUUAUCACCAGCCAUCUUGAGCAGUUCUCAUUAGCACACAGUUAGUCGAAAUGAAGUUCCUGAUAUUCUCGGUAGUUCUUUGCACUCUUUGCAUAGUUUCAUGUGAAGAACCUUGUUCUACCAAAACACCAGAUUGCGUUCCCACAGCUGAGCAUGCUGAACCUGGAGCGCAGUUCAAAGCUGUCGGAAUUUGGAUCGUUGGACCGAAGAAAGGGCAAAUAAUCUAUUAUCAGAAAGAGUUGCAGCAACAGAAAUAAAUGCUGGCGGAAAUGCGUCGAAAUGGCACGUGGCCUCCUAAAGAAGAUGAACAAGAUCAUUAAUAAAGUCAUGAACAUGUCUCUAAGUUUUUUUUUCUAUUUAAAUUACUGUUGUGUCAUCCUCAAUAAGCUGCACCAAGAAACCAGAAUAUUCUUUAUCAUCACCAAACUGUGACAAAACUGUCUUAGUUCCCUUCCAGCAGUGCUCGGUUCCAGACGUAUAAAUUCGUCCAUUGUACCCAAAUCAGUGGCGAAAAUGAAGACUAUCCUCUUACUCCUACUGCUCGGUGCAAUUGUGUCCACUUCGGUUGGGAAACCGUGCUCCAUCAAGAUUCUCAAAUGUCUCGAUACGCCGCUCUAUAGUGACGAUGGACAAAAACCGCUUGGAGUCUGGAUAGUUGGGCCAAAAAAGGGUGAGGUCAUCUACGACUUGGAUGAGGUUGAGCAACAAAGAGAUAUGCUGGCUGAAAUUCGACGGAAUGGUGCGCUUGUUGGUGAAUUGUCGUAAUUGAAAUAGUUUGUUGC